This 3244-nucleotide long non-coding RNA is filed under the name Mus musculus (house mouse). Its description in RNAcentral is "long non-coding RNA chr16:85900748-85903992". Lineage: Eukaryota; Metazoa; Chordata; Mammalia; Rodentia; Muridae. The record is from RNAcentral.
GUCCGCUCCCGCCCCCUCGAAGCCCGGGGCUGGCGGGCUGCAAAGCUUCCAAGCUCCGACCCACUUCCUUUCUUAUUCUCAGGGCUUCCUCGGCUCCGCUGGAACCCGAAGGCAGGGAGAAAUGAGACGGGAGAAAAGAAAAGGAAAGAAAGCAAGCAAAGGAAACACCUAAAAAUGUUUAAAAUCAAAAGCUAGGAGGCGGCCUGCGGAGAGCCAGCGAGGCGGCGCGUCCCGGUCCCUUCCGUUGCCGCGUCCUCCCGCCCGGGAUCAUCCCCAGUCGGCUGCUACGGGCGCGGAGAGCGGCUCAGGCGCUGUGAAGAUGCGAGGAGGUGGGACAAUGAAUUUAUAGCGGCGUGCCAUCCUGCAAUGGCAAUUUCAACAAUUCGUCACUGCACGCUGCCUCUUAAAGGGAGAGCUUCCCCCACCACUCCCACCCUUCCCGGUCCGCGCCUAAUCUGAUGGGGGAGGGAGCAGCGAGAGGAGGAGGGUGAUCGAGGAAAGGCAGACCGGGAAGGAGGAAGGGGCCAGAACCUAGCAAGGUGGAAGGAGGGACAAAGGAGGGAGUAAGGGUGAGAAAGAGAUUGAGAGAGAAAAAGUAUUUGGGCAGAAAACAAGAAAAUUCUCUUGGCCUCAUUUAAAGCCACAGCAACUCCGGUUCUGUGUGGUAUUUCACAACCAAUCGGGGUUGGCUAACCUCGGCUUACCUCAUCUCCUGAAGGGGUGUUUUGGUGUGUUUUUAAAGUCUCUCUCUGCCUCCUUCCCCUUGCUGUUCUUGAGCGGGAUAUGAAGUUCUUGCUUCAUUUUGCCGGCCAGUGCGCUCUGGCCUUGUAGACCUGGUAACUUCACUGGUCAGGGCAGCCGCCUGUGCAACCCCAAGUCCCUCUCUCUUUUCCCUGGUUCUCUCCAGUCGGUCCCGGUAGCUGAUUUCCAGCCUCCUCAUCUCCUAGCUUGUUCACGUUCCAACACUUGCUGACUUCGGGCUAGGGGUGACUAACUUCUCCCGGCCAUCAGCUGAGCAGCCAGGCAGCCACCGGUGCUUCCUGGCGCGUCUCUGGGCAUGCAGCACUGCGGUGACCCCAACAGGGCCGGCUGCGGCCUGGGAAGUCCUUGGCUUUGUGUAUAAAUGGCGGUACUCCCAGCUUUUUUUCCAGGGCAUAGUUGGUCAGUGCCCACAAUCUGUCACUUAUCCCAGCCACUGGAACUCUGAGCUGUAGGAUGUCAGGGUGGGAAAGAGUUAACUCUUGAAGGGGAAUCUGCACCCCCACCCCAGACUUUUACAUUUGUGCUCACACUUUCUGGCAAACACUCCUUUGUUUGUUUACUUGCUACUCUUCUUAUAAGUCAGCCACUCACUGUCAGCCCUCUCAUUUUCAAAGCUCAUAUCCCAGGGAAGAAUACUUGAGGGGAGGUGAUUGGUGGUUAUUAGUAGGCAGGUGGCAUGGCCCCUGCUACUCAGUUCCUCCAUCCUUUGUUUCCUCUAAUUAUCAAUUCUAAGAAGGUGAAAGGAAACCCUAGUGACUUUCUCACAGCAAGUUGACCUGUGCCAGGGUCCAGUACUGGUCUCUGCACACACCCCGGGAUAAUUUACACAUCUCCAUCCCUUUUAACUCCACUCCUUCAGAGGAGAGCAGGCACACUUACAUAGCUUUUUCAGAUGAUACAUUCUCACGGAAGGUACCACGAGGGCCAAGACUGGAGAAGGCCAAACAACAGUUAAAGUAAAAGAGGGCAUGGAUUUGAGAGAGAACAAGGUGUGUGUGGGGUGGACGGGUGGAGGAGUCCGAGAGAGCCUGAAUGGAUCCUGAAAUAUAUCGGGACAUAGAAGGAGGAUGCUGCUGAAAGCACUUGUGUUUCGAUUCUCAAGAUGCUCAGGUAGGUUUCCAGUAGUUAAUAUUACAAGGCAAUGGGCAGGUAGUAAAGGCAGAGAAUGGAGGCACCAGCAAUCUUCUCUGUCUCCCAGCAACCUUCAGCUUUGUGAUGACCCAAGUCACUCCAGGGAAGAUUACCUGGUACCUAUUUGUGUAGUAGUGGUCAGAGUAAGAAUGGCCCCAAUAAGGUCAUAUGAGGUCUCCAGUUGGCGGGAAAGUUUAGGAAGAAUUCGGAGGCGCGGCUUUUUUAGAGGAGGUGCAUCACUCAGGGGAAUCAAGAUGUGAGCUCUCAACUGGUCCUGCCAUCAUGGACUCAAACCCUCUGAAACUGUAAGCUCAAAAGACAUUUUUAAUUUUUAUUAUUUUAUUUUGUCCUAAUCAUGUUAUUUUUUGCCACAGCAAUUGCUAAAUAACCAAGAUAAAACUUUAUUUCUUUUAUAGCACCUCCAGGAGGAAAAAAAAUGCACAGUAUUUCAGUGUUUGGGAUCAAAGGCUCCAAAACAAACUAUAUUUGAAACACGAAACUUACUCAUCUGUGUCUCAAAGGAUCUUUUACAAAACAAGUAUUUCAGGUGACCCUGGGGUAAGGCUAUUAACUGCAAUUCUUUUCAUUUCUGAUCAGGUUCCUUAUGAAGAAGGUUAAAGGAUUCCCCAAUGACUUUGUCCUCCCUGACACCUUUUUUAUCUCUGAAAAAUAAAAUGUUGCUUUCCAAAAGGGACUCAAUCUAAAUCUCAUGCCUUCAUGUCUGAUAAAUGAGUGACAUUAGAAUUCAGACCAAAUAACCAAAUGUUUGGAAAUAUGUUAAGGGCAGAUUUGUUUCAAAAUGUGAGCAUAAAAUAGUAAGUAUUUAUUGGAAGUACUUGUCACAGGGAUGGAGCAGAUAGAGCUUGAGAUACAAUGAGUAAAUUUUUAUUGAAGGAGGGUUUUUUUGUUUGUUUGUUUGUUUGUUUGUUUGCUUUUUUGUGGUUUUUUUUGUGUGUGUGUUUUUGUUAUUUGUUUAUUUGUUUGUUUGUUUUCCUGGCUAUGUAUUCAGUUUUCAUGGAAGGUUCUUGUAACAUUGUAGAAAGUUUGUUACUGAUUGAAACAAAGACACUGCACCAGUGAAUCAGUGCAAUCUGAGAUGUUCUGUAGCAGAAAUGUUUCCAUAUUAAUUUACAGUCAUAUUGAAGUAGGUGAAAAUAACAGUCUUUAUCUUUGAAAUAGGAAGAAAAACUACGUUGUCUACCAUGUUUAGCUGGAGCCAUUGAUUACCUUUUUGCUUUAACAGCUAUUUUUGUACAUAGGUAAUAAGAAUUAUUUUUAAUACAUUUAUUGGAUACAUGAUCCACAAUCAGUUUAUAAACUUUACAUUUCCUCAAAUAAAGAUUUUCUACUG